GGGGACAAUGGACUUCAUCAGUCACUCUAGCAGGAAACUUGGUUUCAACUAAAGAAGGAGGAGACAGGAGUACAUGAAGGAUUUCUUGGAUUUCACAGGACAAGUUCAUAGAGCUAUCUGCCUCAGAACUUGCCCCAUUCCUCAAAACAAUGAAAGAAUGACUCUGAAGGCAAUUCAGAGACCAUCAGGGCUGCCUCCUUGAUUUCAAAAUAGGGAAACUAUUGCUUUGCUGUCAAUAAGCCUUGGGGGCAGGGCCACCUUACAGAGCGCUGAGGGCGCAGAGCUCCCAGGACUGGACAGCCACUCCAGUGAGUCUGGAAGGCACAGCAUUGAGCCCAAGAUGAGACUAACAAUCUAAUGUAGUUUGCCUUGGUAAGUUUUGGGCUUGCCUGGGAACUUUCACCCCUUCCUGCUUUCCUGUUUCUUCUCUUUGGAAUAAGAAUAUUUCUCCUAUGCCCGUUUCACCAUUGUUUUUUGGAAAAACAACUUGUUUUGUUUCAACGGUUCACAGCUGGAGGGGAAUUUUGCGUCAGGAUGAAUGUGCCUCGAGUUUCAUCUUUGUCUAAUUUAGAUGAGAUUUUGAACUUCAGACUUUAGAGUUGUUGCUGGAAUGACUUAAAACUUUUGGGGUUGUUGGGAUGGAAUGUAUUUGCAUGUGAGAAGUACUUGAGUUUGGGAUCCUGGGGCAGAAUGUUAUAGACUAAAUGUCUGUGUCUCCCCAAGAAUCAUAUGUUGAAACCUUACCUUCCAAUGUGGUGGUAUUACAGGGCAUGGCCUUGGAGAAGUAGGAAUUUAGAAUUAGAGGAGAAAGGUAGAGCCCUCAUGAGUGGGAUUAGUGCCUUGUAAGGGUCUUGCAAGACCUUAUAUCCUUUUUCUGUUCUCGCCAUAGGAGGAUACAAUGAGAAGCCGGCUGUCUGCAACCCUGAAGAGGGUGGGCCGUCCUGAUCUUGGAUUGCCAGUUUCCAGAACUGUGAGAAAUAGGUUUCUGUUGUUUAUAACCCUCCCAGUCUAUAGCACUUGUUAUAGGAGCCUGAACUAAAAUGGGGGUAACCAUGCCAAACUUCUUAUUUAGAAAAAGACCAUAGUAUUUUGGUUACUGAGCCCUCUUCUCUUCCCCAUACCCCACCAACUCUGAUAUAAUUCAUGGAAGUACUAGGUAACUCCUGAAUCCUGUCUUUAGCAGCAGUCUCACAAUUUGGAAGGUGGGGUUCUGGUGCCUAAAGGCUUCGGUGUGGGCAGAGAUGUAAUUGACUUUUUUAUGCAACAAGAUUUCAGAUUCCCGGAUUCUCAGUCAGUUGCAUGCCCCAGGCAAUACCUUUCUCAACGAAGCUGUGUUACCUUUUCUUUCUGCUUCCAAACUAGUGUACUUCAAUGUGAGUUGACUAUAGAAAUUUUUUUGACAAAAUUGUUUACUGCAAGUGUCAGGGAGUAGCCAGCACACAGCCACAGCCUGAUUUUUUCCCCAACUUAUUUACCUAAAGCUAUAGUCUUGGCUGGCACUUGAUACACCUUCCAGAGUACAGUAGGCCAGACUCUGACCAUAUACUUUGCCAUUUCUUAACAAGAGAAACCAGGUUUCCAAACUCCAAUAUCUAGGUCCUUGCCCCCUCUGUUAAGUCAGUGCUACCUUUAGGUAGUAUAAUUGGUUGCAUUCUAACUCCUAGCUAUCAAAUUUUAAAUAAAUAUAAGCAAAUGUUCUCAUGUAAUAAAAGCAAUAAAUACAUAUAUGGCAAAUUUUCAUUUUUGUUAGUUAUCAAACAUAUUUCUUAAAACCAUGAAAUAUUAUCUUUUAAAUUAGAAACAUCUUAAAAAUUCGGUAAUAAGUGUAAAGCCUGUACUGUUCUACACCCACAGGGGCAAAACCAUGCUUUAGCUUUAUUGGGCAAUAUAGAUCAGGACUGAUAUUUAAUAUAUUUUGAUAUGAUGAUAAUGUGCAUGAAAACCAUUUUAAGAGAUAAUACACAAAAUAAAAAUGACGUACAUGAUUUGUGUUCUAUGUAGGAAGCAACUGGAAUGUUAAAAUGAAGAAAAAUGGAUGAGAAAAUGAUGACACAUCUAUUCAAUGGGAUAUUAUGUAACAAAAUAAUUAGGAAGACUAUGUUACAACAUGAAGCUCAGUAUACGAUGUUCAAUAUAAAAUGUCAAAACAUAAAAUUACAUGUGCACAAUGAUUGCAAACAAGUGAAGUAAUGUAUGAAAAAUUCUUAGAUGGGAUUAUAACUAAAUAAUUGUAGUUGUUCCAUGGGUGGUGAGAUCAUGUCAUUCUCUAAUUUCCAAGUUUUGUGUCCAGGAAAACUAUCUCAAGAUUUAUGGUCAAUGAACUGACAUGACUUACCUUUAAAACAUAAUAAAAUGAAUCUAAGUUAUUAAAUAGAUUAAGUUGGGCACAUUAUUGCAAUUUGGUGGGUUAAGUUGCAGAACAGCUGUCUUUAUCCCUUUAUCCUUUAAUUAUUUUCUAUGAUUUAUUUACUUAAACUCUUAUGCAAAAUGCCAAUAAUUCAUUUCUUAAAUUAAAGAGAGGUUUAUCAAAUUAAUCCUUAGAAAAUCUCCUUUGAAAGCAUUCAGAAUGCAGUUUAAAAUUAUGUUUCUUUAAAGAUACACACAGAUGAUCCACAAUAUUUCUAUAACUUCUUAUAAGAUGAUUUUCCCAUUUUCUGUCCUUAACUGUAUUUUUCUUACGCUGGACCGCUUUCAUUUCCUUAAUUAUGCCAAAUCACAUCUGGAGUAUUUAGAACACCUUUUUUAGCAUGUUCACAAAAUGGCUUUUUUAUAGGUAAGGGGAGAGAACGUCAAUAUAAGUUUUAUAGGUAGAUGAUCAAAAGUAGAGUGUGUUUUCUAAAAAGGCAUGUUUGAAACCCACAUAUUAGUAAAUUCUCCUGGUGUGAGAUGUUGCCACCUGAGUUAGGUCCACAAUCUUAUUUUUUUUUUUCCUUUGGACCCUCUGGUAUCCCCUACGUGAGUCUAUUCUUCUCUGUCUUCGUGCCUUAAUAAAAAUAAUUUAUUUUUAAAAUGUUUGUUUGUUCUGAG
RNAcentral lists this long non-coding RNA (3027 nucleotides) under Lynx pardinus (Iberian lynx). Lineage: Eukaryota; Metazoa; Chordata; Mammalia; Carnivora; Felidae. The record is from RNAcentral.